This 502-nucleotide ribosomal RNA is filed under the name uncultured bacterium. Its description in RNAcentral is "partial 16S ribosomal RNA". It matches the Rfam family "Bacterial small subunit ribosomal RNA", at positions 28 to 507 of the family's 1533-position model. The record is from RNAcentral.
GACGAACGCUGGCGGCGUGCCUAAUACAUGCAAGUCGAACGAACCGCGACUAGGUGCUUGCACUUGGUCAAGGUGAGUGGCGAACGGGUGAGUAACACGUGGGUAACCUACCUCAUAGUGGGGGAUAACAGUCGGAAACGACUGCUAAUACCGCAUAGGACAUAGGAUCACAUGAUCCAGUGAGGAAAGGUGGCGCAAGCUAUCGCUAAGAGAUGGACCCGCGGUGCAUUAGCUAGUUGGUAGGGUAAAGGCCUACCAAGGCGAUGAUGCAUAGCCGACCUGAGAGGGUGAUCGGCCACACUGGAACUGAGACACGGCCCAAACUCCUACGGGAGGCAGCAGUAGGGAAUCUUCCGCAAUGGACGGAAGUCUGACGGAGCAACGCCGCGUGAGUGAAGAAGGUCUUCGGAUCGUAAAGCUCUGUUGUUAGGGAAGAACAGCGCAUAGAGUAACUGUUAUGCGUGUGACGGUAUCUAACCAGAAAGCCACGGCUAACUACGUG